UCCCGAGGCGUUAAAAGGAGCCCGAGACCUCCUCCUCCGCCCUAGGGUUCCCUCUCCUUUCCUCCCCAGCGCCGCCAGUUUCCCUAGUGCCCUCGUUCUUCCCUGGUAAGUCCUGAGAGAGAGCAGAGAGAGAGGGUGCAGCGCCUCCCCCGUCAAGCCGCCGAUCCGUCGUCUCCGGCACUGGGCGCCAUGUCCGGGGGCUCGGGGUGAGUCCCCGCGUCCCAUUCCCGGCGCUAGGACCCCGAGGAGCGGCCCCCCCCGUCGAGCUCGUCCUCGUCAACGGGACGAACCGGGCGAUCCGCGUCCGUCUCCUUCUUCGGUCUUCGGCGGGACGACUUCGUCCGGCCGUCUUCUUCCUCUCCGACGCUCCUCCUCCCCGUUCGACGCCCCUCUUCUCCUCAAGGUGAGGCCGCGUCCUCGUCCUCCUUCCUUCCGCCUCCGCGGUCCGGCUCGUUCCAGCGUGUGUGCAUUUCUCUGUCCGAUAUCUGUGUGUGGGGGUGCAGUUGUCGCGAGUGGAGCAGGGUGGGGUAGGUAUGUUAUGGAGGUACCGUGCAGGAGAGGGCUUCCUCCCCCUCUCUGCAGCAGCGCCAUGAUCAGAGGAGCUCUCCUCGCCGGCCGUGCAGCGUAGCGACGCAGGCAGGGCUGCCCGUCAAGGUCUCUGUCCCGUGCUCCCAGGCGAACUGCAGGAUGCAGGAACGCCGCUGCAGUUCAAGGCAGCCAAGGGUGCUCCUUCUCCCGUGCUUAGACCAAAAAUGGGUUCCCCGAGAGUCCCGCGGGCCCCGCCGUCGGUUUUCCCCGCCGGUGGUGGCCGGGAGUGGCGCCGCCAGCGUCCUCCGGUCUGGCCGCCGGCGGGAUGCUUCUCGUGAGAGGCGUGUUCUUCUGUUUUACCUUCUAGUGUUAGUCAGACGCCGGUUCGUAGCCUGAUGGUAGUGUCUCUCGGUCGCAUGCAUGCGCCUGUUGAGAGGUCUAGGGAUCGAGUCCCCCCCUCGGCGCCUUUUUGGUUGUUUUCCUUGUUUAUUUCGGGUCAUGGCAGUGCAGACAGAUUACCUUGCAUAUCUCCCUUCAUCUGUCAACAAGAAGCACCGUAGCGCUGUGGCGUGGUUGUGUGGUGCUGGACACCAGGGAACUGGGUUCGAACCCCAGCAGCCCUGUUUUUUUUUUUUUUUUUUUUUUCUUUUNNNNNNNNNNNNNNNNNNNNNNNNNNNNNNNNNNNNNNNNNNNNNNNNNNNNNNNNNNNNNNNNNNNNNNNNNNNNNNNNNNNNNNNNNNNNNNNNNNNNNNNNNNNNNNNNNNNNNNNNNNNNNNNNNNNNNNNUUUUUUUUUUUUUUUUGCAUUCUUUUCUUUUUCCUGCCUACUCAUUUCCUGUUUUCCUAACUCCUACACUUGUGUCUCAUCAGUUUUGUUCCCUGUUGUUUUUUUUAUUUUACAAACUCCUACGCAAUGGUGAUUGCUCCUGUUCCUGCUAGAAUAGUGGUAUAGAUUUAGUGUGAGAAUGUUUUACAUGCUAGGGGUGUUAAAUAGUUUUGCUAGCCGGUGAUUCUUAUAGUGGUUGUACCUUGGUGAUGAGGAGCCAACCCUGAUUAGGGCAUGUUGCUAGGUGCCUUGUUAAAUAUGGGUGUAGUGUUUGGAGGUGAUUAGUUGGCCUAGCUAUUCUUGCAAAGCCCUAGCUUGUGAAUCUUGGUGUGGUCUAAGGGAUAUUGUAGUUUUGUUAGCUUGCUUUGACAUAGUGGGGUGUGGGUGCCUCCCCCUCAUCACAUGUCUUGAGGUGAGGGAUAGCACUAGAUAGCUAUUUAUGAUAGCAUGUGAGGGUGUGGUUUGUUGUGGUAGUUUGCACAAUGUUGGUGACAUGAAUACUAGAAAGAUACUAGUGGUGCUUGGGAGGGUGUGCACCAUCACAUGCCCAUGUGUGGGGGGUGGUAUACCCUUUUGUUAUACAAAGAUUUCUUGUGUGUGAGCUUGAUGCUAGUGCUUGAGAGGAUUUGUGUGUGUGUUGGAGUUGUUGAUGUGCAUGACACAAACAUGGGGUUCAAAACCCCAUGUCACUUUGUCAUUGUGCACAUGAAACCCUCCUAUGCAUUGUCAUCUUAAAAGUAUACCUUUUGGAUUUGCAUUUUUCAUUUUGUUGAAAGUUUGGGCUUUGUUUCCAUGGUAUAGAUGGAGCCCAAAGGCAUGGAUCUUGGUGUGUUAGUUGUAGGGGUUUGUGCUCAAUACCAUAGUGGUGUCAAACACCUCUUGGGAACUUGUGUGUGCAAACUAUGCCUAGACAAAGUGGGCAUGUGGCUAGAAAAAUUCCAGGAUUUUGAACUCUGAAAAUUUCACUAAGUCUGGAAUGCUGAAAACAUUUUCUUCCCCUGUAGAUAAGGUUGUGCAGGUCAGUAUGUUGAGAACUGGACUUAGUUCAGUGCUAGUGUUUUGAACCUGGUAUGUUUUUGCAGCUUCCUGUCAAUUUUCAAGUCAUUUGGAGUCCAGUAGCUUGUGUUUUGAUUGCUGUCAAAAGGCUUCAGAACAGAAACAGAAACUCAGGUGCAGAAAUUUUCACUAAGUCCCUGAGAACUGAUGGUUCUGGGAAAGUUUGUGGCCUUGUAACUUCUAGAUUUUAAUUCCUUUUGCUGUGAUUCUUGCUGGAGAUGGUAGUGUUCUUGGUUGUCAACAUCCACAUAUAUUAUUUUUCAUGUUUGUAGACCUGUAGCUAUGUUGCAUGUGGCUCACAAACAGCUAAGAUGCAGAAACUGGCAGAUUGCGUAGUUUUGACAUUUUGUUCAAAGUUUGUGUUUGAUUGUUGUUGGGGUGUUCUACCUUGCUCCAUUUCAUUCAUGUUGGGUUAAUAUAUGUCUUGGCAACCUGGGAACACCAGAUUUGUGCCAAUUGUGUGUGUGGGGAUGAAUCUUUCACGUAGGGCUUCAUAUCGUGUUUCGUUGAUUCCCGUUGAUCCGUAGCUCCGUUUGCAAAGUUCUUUAUAUGGUUUUGCACCGUUUUUACGAGAUGCAUCUGUCCAUAUCAUUUCCAUGCAUGUACAAAUAGUUUAGUGCAAAGUUCUGUCCAGGAACUCGUUGUAGUUUAUCUUGCUUGUGCUAGUGUUAGAAAUAGUGGUGCAUGCUCAACUUUCAUCUCAUGCAUCGUGUGAUUGUUGCAUUUUGUGGUGCUGCUGUUCAUUGGCUGAUAUUCCUGUGUUGGGUAGCACCGGGAGCGGAGACCGAUUACGUGGAGUCAGGAGAGUACUUGCAGGACGAUCCAGAACCAUUCCAAGCUGAGGAUAUCACAGGCAAGAUGACAUGACCUUGAUCCCAUAUCUAGACUUGUUAUGUUAGUUUCGAUUCUACGUAAUAUUGCUCGCUUCCUACCACUGAAAUAUAUUACCUCUUCAUAUGCCAUGAGC
Molecule: long non-coding RNA, 3375 nt
Filed under: Hordeum vulgare
Lineage: Eukaryota; Viridiplantae; Streptophyta; Magnoliopsida; Poales; Poaceae
Description: long non-coding RNA (HVUL_LNC018192)
Source: RNAcentral